UGACCUCCAAACUGACCCGAAGGGUUACCCUCGAUCCCUCUAAACGGCAGAACUCUAACCGCUGCGUUUCGGGCGCCUCUCUGCCCCAGGGAUCCAAGAUCAGGUCGCAGACGAACCUGAGAGAAUCGGGGGACCUGAGGUCACAAGUUGCCAUCUACCUUGGGAUCAAGCGGAAACCGCCCCCCGGCUGCUCCGAUUCCCCUGGAGUGUGAAGCUGACCAGC
Molecule: long non-coding RNA, 223 nt
Organism: Carlito syrichta (Philippine tarsier)
Lineage: Eukaryota; Metazoa; Chordata; Mammalia; Primates; Tarsiidae
Exons: 4
Source: RefSeq, a predicted model, not a curated record